This is an RNA transcript of Magnolia sinica, 4712 nucleotides long. RefSeq lists it as uncharacterized. The transcript is spliced from 5 exons. NCBI's taxonomy places the organism in Eukaryota, Viridiplantae, Streptophyta, Magnoliopsida, Magnoliales, Magnoliaceae. The record is from RefSeq and is a predicted model, not a curated record.
CUCUAUCUCUCUCUUCUCCUGCGUUACUGUGAAAACAUGCUUUCGUAGAGAGCACCGGAUGCCUUUGAUGUGGGAGGCGUUCUUUUCUUCCUGUAGGUGUUGAAACUCUCUCUCUCUCUCUCUCUCUCUGUACUGUUUUUGGUACAUAGCAGAUGAAGGCAUAGCUGUUUUUUGAAGCAAUCUAAAGGAGAAAAGGGGGUCUGUUUCUCUUUGUAGGCUUUUGAUCCUUCUCCUUGGGUUAUGCUGGAAGGCUAUAAUUACAAGAGAUUUAAGGAAGAACGCAGCACAAGAAAGGAGAAGCCUCACUUCAGAUGUUAUCCAUUGAAAUUCCACCAUCAGAUCCCCCUUGUUCUAUUUCAGAAUUGAAUGGUGGUGAUGAACCCCACCACCAAUCCCAUUUCUCCAUAAGGGAUUAUGUUUUUACUUCCCGGAGCAAUGAUAUAGAGGCAAAUUGGCCAUUUCCUCAGCAGUUUUUGCAUCUUUGCUUGAAGCAUGGCGUAGAAAACAUACUGCCACCUUUUGAACCUCCCAAUUUAGUAAGAGCAGCUCAGUGUCGCAGAAAAGGUGUAGGAAAUCAACUGAUUAUUCACGUGGGUGUUGAGAAAGCCUUACCGGAAGUUGAUUCAUUUGGUUCAGAGGAUUUGAAGCUAAAUGAAACUAAAUAUGAUGAUUGUGGGCCAUCUGAUCAAUCAGCUUUCAUAUCAUCCAAUCAAGAUCAGUCUUUCUUAUUAGAAGAGGGUAAUUUAAUACCCCAUCAAGCAGAUGAGAAACCAUGUGGGUUGUCAAGAUCCUCAGGUUCCAGUGAGGUAGGUGGAGAAGGAGAGACCGCGUCAGAGGCUUCGGUAGAAGUUUUAAAUCCUCCCCAUUCUUCUAAGAAAAUCGAUACUUUUUGUGAACCAUCAGAUAAAAAGCGCCGGUUGAUUGUGAGAUUGGGUCCCAUUUCCAGACCUGGCCGGACAGAAGAGAUUGUGCCAAAUUCCAGUGCUGUGACGGAGCCCAUGGCUUCGAAAGUUUGCCCUGUUUGCAAGACAUUCUCGUCCACUUCAAACACCACUUUGAAUGCUCACAUCGAUCAGUGCCUUGCUAUGGAGUCUACUAUGAAGGGAGUUAUGACUAAAUUAACUGAACAGAAAGUUAAACCAAGGAAGAAAAGGUUGCUGGUGGAUAUCUACAAGACCGCCCCAAGUUGCACUCUAGAAGAACUUGAUCGUAGGAACGGUUCAAACUGGGCCACAGAUUUGAGUUUGACAACACCAAAUGAUGAGGCUCGUGCUGAGAGCAAAAGACAACGGAAGGCCCAAGUCAAUUUUAUGGACGAUGAUGAUGAAAAUCCAGUCUAUUUCGAUUCGAAUGGCACAAAGCUCCGGAUUUUAUCGAAAUUUGACAGUGGAUCAGCAUCAACGGCUGUGGAGAGUUGUGAGCCGAGGAAACUUGUGAAAGAAGAUGAUACGAAUAACAAGAACUUUUCAAUCAGGAAGAAAAAACGUCUUGCAUCGAAAUGUUCAAAGCACUUGAGUCUCAGCAAGAGAACAUGCACCAUCAAGCUGAGCAAAGGCGAGAUUCAUGGGGCACCAGAUUGGAAAAACAAUCACAAGGAGAAGGAAGAAUUGCUAUCUCAGUUAUUGAAAGUUCGACCCCCAAUCAAAAGUAGCAGUUCUGGAACAUUAAAACAAUGGGUAUGCUCAAAAAGAACCAAUCUUCCAAAAAAGCUCAAUGACAGAGAUCCAGUGCCUGUGCUGGAGGACCUGUCGAUCGAAAGAAACCAAUCAGUUUCAUCCAAUCCUUCUGCAGAGAGAAGUCUUGUUUUGAAACUCAAGAGAUUGCCUGAGAAUUCCAUGGCUUCCCAAAGGAGCAAGAGAGUGGAGACCUUGUCCAACGUGGAUGGUCUCGCAGAUAAUGGGAACAAGUCCCCAGAACUGCCCAAGCAUAGCUUCAAUCCGUCAACAAAAGGCACUUCUUCUAAAGCUGGCUGUGCGUUGAAAUUUGCAGGAGCUCUCGGAAAUCAAGUCUCUUCUCCGAGAAGCAAGAGAGUGGAGAUUAACACAACUGCUGUCCGGAUGUCUACAAAAUCAUCUGGGGGUCAUGAUACCAUCUUGCGGAAAGCUGGAGAAAUCUCAACUUGGAGGAAGAGUGCUUUGUUUGGAAAACCAUCUGUUCCAACAGAAGCAAGUGUAUGUAAUGAGAAGAGAAAGCUUCCAUCCUUUAAAAGGACCCUUAAGGUAAACAGGACCCAUAAAUGGGGUCGAUCAAAGAAUCUUACAAGGUCUGAUACAAAACAGAUUGUCGACGAAGUGUCUCGUGAAAGAACUGAUGAGCUGGAGUGUGGAUUAGAUAGAGAGGCAUUAGAUAAAUCAGAAAGGCGGGAAACUAUAAAUUCAAGAGGGCUGAAUGUUGAAGCUGAAUGCCGUGGUCAUGACUUGGACAGCAUGGAUUCUCAAGCUGGAGGUACUUUUCAUCAAAACCCGAGCAAUGAUGUUUUCCAAUUCAAAUCCAAUGGCCAAGAAUUUGUGGCCAAGGAGGCCACGGCAAGUGGGGAUACUGGUAUUAAAUAUUCUGGGGGGAAGGCUAUUAGAGACCUUGUUUUGAGGACCAGUGAAACCCGAAGUUCAGAAGACCAUGUACCAGCUGCUUAUUCUGAUAUCCACCCCAAUUUAUCUCCAUCUCUCGAAGAAAGUGUGGGACCCACAUUUGCAUCUUAUGCUGAUCAAGAGCUUCAGUGUUCUGACUGUAUUCCUAUUCGAGGAUCGGGAGCAUGCUUGGCGAGUCCUGGAGAAAUGGGAUUCCAACUUCAGGAGGACUCAUCGAUAACUUCUAAUGGGCCUCCAUCUGAACAAGAUCAACAUAAGCCAGCUGAUAGAGACCUACAAAGUUCUCCUAUUUCCGCAGGCUCAACCGUCUCAGCCCCAGUGACAGAGAGAUCUGAGUUCGAAUAUUUUAAGCAGGAACCAAUGGUAGGAUCUGCUACAGUUGAAGGAAACAUGAUUUCAAGCUUUCAAGGCAAUGGCAAUGAAUCUGCAUUGGCUGAUGCUAAUGAUGUAGAGCUGGGAGCGGGAGCAGAAAGAACACAAAUAGAUGUAGAGAAACUGGAAGUUAUGAUUUUAUCUGAAAAAGAACAUACGAGCCUUUCAGAAGACCGGUUGUGCUGUUGCAUGCGGAAGGAAAGUGCUUCUCAUGGUCCUGCCAUGACGCAUCAGGACCCACAGCUCUGGAGGCAAAAAAGCGUCACGGCUACUGCCAUGACACUGUCAAAUGAAGGAAAACAGAUGGCUUCUGAUUGGGAAAGCAAGCCAGUGGAAUUCUGUACUUCUAGUUCAGGCCUCAGUUUGAGAAGUGAUGAGAUGGUCAUUUCAGUAAAGGCAUCUUCCAUAUCUGCUGUAGAAAACCAAAAUUUCAGUGAUAACGGCCCAGCUAGCCCGUCCUCUCAAACUCAUCCUCGGCAGCCGAUGCAUUCUCAUCCCAUCUUAAGGUUGAUGGGAAAGAACUUGAUGGUUGGGAACAAAGAUGAAGAUGAUUCCGUGAGGCCUAAAGCUACUCUGAAUGACCACUCAAGUGCAAAGUGUCCCAUUCCUACAUUUCUCGGAUUUUCUUCUGGCAAUGUCUCCAAUCAGUCCUCCAAUGGUUCUGUGACUAUCGAGUCAUCACACCCAUCACCGGACUUUGAUGUUGGUUUCUCAAGAAGUUUCAGAGAUCAUGGUAAUCUGAAGGUGCACCAACUGCCUGGCGAUCAUCAGGCCAUGCAUGCGGGAGGAUCUGCUCUUUCUGCAUUGCAGACUCAGCUGAAUAAAUUGAAUGAAAAACCCAAUUUUCCAUUUGCACAUAAUGUCGAGAGAAUUGCUCAGAAGCCUGUUUCUUCCACUCAAGCUGCCGAACCCACCAGAGAGGUGAUUUUCAUUGACGACUCUUCUGAUCCAGAAUCUGAUUUGAGCACAAAUGAUCACAAGUACACACCAGGAUUAAGGAAUCUUCUGCCUCUUAUGGGAAUUUCAACCCCGGCAAUUAUGAAUCACAAUACAAGGGAACCGAUGAGUUUCCUAAUGUCAUGUCCUGGAGCAAAUGUGAGCUAUGCAAAGAGAGGAGGUACUUCGGAAGGUGCAGGUGUUCAUCCAGAUAGCCCUUUUAUACUUCCUCACUGUCGACAGGUUACAUGAACUCGACGUCGUCUUAAUCUCUCUGAGGUUGCUCUAGCCAAAUUGAUAAAUGGCCCGCUUUAUCCUUGGGAGCACAGUUGGCAGAGAAAUUCAGUGACUUCUUUGUGAAAUUUGAAAUCCAAACUGAUGGGCAUUUGCUAUUGAACCGAGGAUUGUUGAGAGUCAGUAAGGUCAAGCACUUUGGAGACGGACAUUGCUCUUGUCGGGUGGUGGAUCCAUGCAUUUGACAGGCACAUGGAGCUUGUGAAAUGCUGCUGCAAAUCGGAACUUAACUAACUUAAUGGAGCCUUCUUUCCAUAAAUGCUUAGGUGGUUUGAUUUGCACCAGGAGAGGUUGAAGAUGUGCCAGCGUAGUGCACAUUUGCAACAUCUGGGCCGAGCCAUCACUCAUCAAGUGGGCCACAUGGGUACGCUAAUUCAUUGAUUGCAAUAUUAUUAUGUUCCACUUGUUUGUCAACCGUUCAUUAUUACGAUACUCAUUAGCCCCACUUGAUGAGUGGACUGGCUACUUCAUGUUCAAGUUGGCCCCACCUGAUUAAUGGUCCAGAACACACACAUGUCAGCA